This 253-nucleotide ribosomal RNA is filed under the name uncultured bacterium. RNAcentral describes it as "partial 16S ribosomal RNA". It matches the Rfam family "Bacterial small subunit ribosomal RNA", at positions 524 to 776 of the family's 1533-position model. The record is from RNAcentral.
UACGGAGGGGGCAAGCGUUAUUCGGAAUUAUUGGGCGUAAAGGGCAGGUAGGCGGCUUCGUGUGUCUCUUGUGAAAGCCCUCGGCUCAACUGAGGAAUUGCAAGGGAAACUACGGAGCUUGAGUCCGGGAGAGGAGAGUGGAAUUCCCAGUGUAGCGGUGAAAUGCGUAGAUAUUGGGAGGAACACCGGUGGCGAAGGCGGCUCUCUGGACCGGUACUGACGCUGAUCUGCGAAAGCUAGGGGAGCAAACGGG